ACCCCAAACCACCCUGAAUGCACCCAUCUCUUUAGAUCUCAGAAGCAAAGCAGGACCACAGUUGAUUUGUUCUUGGAGGGGAGACUGCUAGUGACUAUUGAGUGCUAUAGGCU
Molecule: ribosomal RNA, 113 nt
Filed under: Phascolarctos cinereus (koala)
Lineage: Eukaryota; Metazoa; Chordata; Mammalia; Diprotodontia; Phascolarctidae
Source: RNAcentral